RNAcentral lists this long non-coding RNA (509 nucleotides) under Durio zibethinus. Its description in RNAcentral is "long non-coding RNA (DZIB_LNC000037)". Lineage: Eukaryota; Viridiplantae; Streptophyta; Magnoliopsida; Malvales; Malvaceae. The record is from RNAcentral.
AUACUAGUUAGUAUUACACCAUAAUAUAGAUUAAUAUAUAUUGAGUGUGCAUAUUUGUAUUUAUAAGCUAACCUCAUAUAAGCAACAAUAUCAAUAGUUGAUAUUUCAUCCAGUUCAUAAAAUUCUUUAACCUCCUCCAUACCAAUGUAAGAAAUGAUGGUUUAUCAAAUAACCUUUCCUCAAACUUAAUAAUUAUGAAGUUUCCUCUGGAUAAAUGCUCCAGUGAAUAAUUAGAUAACUCAUCCAUGGUAGCCUGAGCAAGGGUCAUACUCUGAGUCUCAACAUCCUACUACAAUAUUUAAUGAAAUAUAAGUAUUAAAACUAAAUCAAUAAAUAUAAUAAACAAAUUAAUAUUAAACUUAUAAACAAAAUCAUACUUUAUGGCUAGUAGUGGAGGUUAGGUUCACUGUCUAACUUGCAACAGAAACUUGUCUUACGUGAAUGAUGCUAUUCGAUUGGCCUACUAGUAUGCUAUGCUGUCUUACUGCCAACAUGACCUUAAAAGUAGU